Long non-coding RNA from Armigeres subalbatus, 545 nucleotides. RefSeq lists it as uncharacterized. The transcript is spliced from 3 exons. Lineage: Eukaryota; Metazoa; Arthropoda; Insecta; Diptera; Culicidae. The record is from RefSeq and is a predicted model, not a curated record.
GUGGGUAGCAGGCUUCAUUCGCAUGUGAACGACCUGGUAAACGAGACCGUUUGUAAAACAAAAGUUCCAAAAAAACACGUGAGGAAAAGAUUGUGAACUUUGACGCUAGUUUCGGAUAGUGAAAGGGAAAGAUUUGAGUUGCAGAUAGAGCCGAACCCAUUCAAAACACAGGCGUUGAGUUUUCUUAUCUCGACUGAGAUUGUCGAGAGCUAGGUUUCAAAACCCUAUCAUCAUAGGGUUUUUUGGUGGAGUGGAUCAGCUGUAAAACCCCGCAUCGAGGAUCCUUACUCGGACGCCGUUCGUCGCGAUCGCAGUGACCUGCAUGUGAUUGCCACGUGUCCCGAAGUUGCUAAGCGUGAACCUUUGGCUUUCUGAACCGGCGUGAACCGCAUCCAAGCUAACGAAUAGCCUCCAAUCGAACACACCGCUUCCACGCUUAUACGAAUUCUGCGUCGAUCGCACCCAAGCAAUCGCCGGUGUCCUUAGCGUCCGCAUUCUGCGACGACUGACAGCAAAAGUGUUUCCUACCGGCCAGAAAGGGUACA